This is a long non-coding RNA of Cervus elaphus (red deer), 922 nucleotides long. RefSeq lists it as uncharacterized. The transcript is spliced from 3 exons. The record is from RefSeq and is a predicted model, not a curated record. NCBI's taxonomy places the organism in Eukaryota, Metazoa, Chordata, Mammalia, Artiodactyla, Cervidae.
CAAAGAAGGAAGAGACCAAGAUGGCAUGGGGGUGGUGUUGUUCAAAAGCAGCAGCAGCAGGAGCUGGAAGAAAAGGAAAGAUGAAAAGAUGGAAAAGGAAGCUGAGACCCUACAUUGCUCACAAGAAUUAAGUUAAUUACUGCCUGGCUUUUAUAGAUAACGUUUGCCAAAGCCUGCAAUAGAGUAAAAGCCGUACCCUGGGACUAAGAAGAAAAAUGAGGCAGAACCACCCUAACAGGAGCAAGACUGGAAGCCCCUGGAGACUGCAAGCCUUUGGAGACCGGAAGCCCCAAGAGACCAGUGCCAUCCUUUCUGACAUCCCACCCAGUCCUCAGGACUAUGCUCCCGAACUACUCAGACACUGCUGUCCUGUAGGGGGAGCCCAGGAUGAAUGCAGUUGAAAUUACUGGGUUUGCAGCUUCUUACUGAUUCUGCAACAAAGGAAAAGAUCUUUCAUCGAAUGUGUAAGGUGAAAAAAAAAAAAGACUUGAGUUUCUCUUGGUGGAAAACAAAGGGAAGUUUGCAUAAUUAUGACUCUGUCUUUUCAGCAUGUAAAGUGCUGUUUUUCUGCAGAAUAGGGCUUUUAAUAUUUGAUGAGUCUUUGAGAACACUGCACGAUAUCAACACUGAAUGGUGGGGCUCAGUUCAAAGGCUUGUACAAACAUUUCUAAAGAAGAGCCAUAUUAAAGAGUCCAGUUUCCCUGAUUUGUGCUUUAAGUUUAUUGACACAUAAAUCUUCAGAAGCGUUCUUCUCGACCUCGCGUUCCUGCAGACUCUAAUGCUGGCCUUUUUAUGGACCAGAAAUCUGGCCACUUUGUAUUCCUCCAACAGCUACCACAGCUAAGCCACCUUCGUUAGGCAAUAAAAUUGAAAACUGCCUCCCGAUUGAGCAGUUGAUUUGAAUGAAAUCUGUUGUUUGUCU